Molecule: ribosomal RNA, 1358 nt
Filed under: uncultured bacterium
Lineage: Bacteria
Description: bacterial SSU rRNA
Rfam family: Bacterial small subunit ribosomal RNA
Source: RNAcentral
GAUGAACGCUAGCUACAGGCUUAACACAUGCAAGUCGAGGGGCAGCAUGGUCUUAGCUUGCUAAGGCCGAUGGCGACCGGCGCACGGGUGAGUAACACGUAUCCAACCUGCCGUCUACUCUUGGACAGCCUUCUGAAAGGAAGAUUAAUACAAGAUGGCAUCAUGAGUCCACAUGUUCACAUGAUUAAAGGUAUUCCGGUAGACGACGGGGAUGCGUUCCAUUAGAUAGUAGGCGGGGUAACGGCCCACCUAGUCUUCGAUGGAUAGGGGUUCUGAGAGGAAGGUCCCCCACAUUGGAACUGAGACACGGUCCAAACUCCUACGGGAGGCAGCAGUGAGGAAUAUUGGUCAAUGGGCGAGAGCCUGAACCAGCCAAGUAGCGUGAAGGAUGACUGCCCUAUGGGUUGUAAACUUCUUUUAUAAAGGAAUAAAGUCGGGUAUGGAUACCCGUUUGCAUGUACUUUAUGAAUAAGGAUCGGCUAACUCCGUGCCAGCAGCCGCGGUAAUACGGAGGAUCCGAGCGUUAUCCGGAUUUAUUGGGUUUAAAGGGAGCGUAGAUGGAUGUUUAAGUCAGUUGUGAAAGUUUGCGGCUCAACCGUAAAAUUGCAGUUGAUACUGGAUAUCUUGAGUGCAGUUGAGGCAGGCGGAAUUCGUGGUGUAGCGGUGAAAUGCUUAGAUAUCACGAAGAACUCCGAUUGCGAAGGCAGCCUGCUAAGCUGCAACUGACAUUGAGGCUCGAAAGUGUGGGUAUCAAACAGGAUUAGAUACCCUGGUAGUCCACACGGUAAACGAUGAAUACUCGCUGUUUGCGAUAUACAGCAAGCGGCCAAGCGAAAGCGUUAAGUAUUCCACCUGGGGAGUACGCCGGCAACGGUGAAACUCAAAGGAAUUGACGGGGGCCCGCACAAGCGGAGGAACAUGUGGUUUAAUUCGAUGAUACGCGAGGAACCUUACCCGGGCUUAAAUUGCAGAUGAAUUACGGUGAAAGCCGUAAGCCGCAAGGCAUCUGUGAAGGUGCUGCAUGGUUGUCGUCAGCUCGUGCCGUGAGGUGUCGGCUUAAGUGCCAUAACGAGCGCAACCCUUGUUGUCAGUUACUAACAGGUUCCGCUGAGGACUCUGACAAGACUGCCAUCGUAAGAUGUGAGGAAGGUGGGGAUGACGUCAAAUCAGCACGGCCCUUACGUCCGGGGCUACACACGUGUUACAAUGGGGGGUACAGAGGGCCGCUACCACGCGAGUGGAUGCCAAUCCCAAAAACCUCUCUCAGUUCGGACUGGAGUCUGCAACCCGACUCCACGAAGCUGGAUUCGCUAGUAAUCGCGCAUCAGCCACGGCGCGGUGAAUACGUUCCCGGGCCU